This 777-nucleotide ribosomal RNA is filed under the name uncultured Neocallimastigales. RNAcentral's name for it is "partial large subunit ribosomal RNA". It matches the Rfam family "Eukaryotic large subunit ribosomal RNA", at positions 20 to 624 of the family's 3401-position model. The record is from RNAcentral. Lineage: Eukaryota; Fungi; Neocallimastigomycota; Neocallimastigomycetes; Neocallimastigales.
UACUAGAGUAGCACUCGCAUAUCAAUAAGCGGAGGAAAAGAAACUAACAAGGAUUCCCCUAGUAACGGCGAGUGAAGCGGGAAGAGCUCAAAUUUGAAAUCUUAAAAGGUUUUCCUUUUACGAAUUGUAGUUUAAAGAAGUGUUUUCUGUUGAAGUUUUGGUACAAGUUCUUUGGAAUAGGACAUCAUAGAGGGUGAGAAUCACGUAUUUGACCUUAAUUUUUCAACUUUGUGAUACACUUUCAAAGAGUCGGAUUGUUUGGGAAUGCAGUCCAAAAUGGGUGGUAAAUUUCAUCUAAGGCUAAAUAUUGGCGAGAGACCGAUAAGCGAACAAGUACCGUGAGGGAAAGAUGAAAAGAACUUUGAAAAGAGAGUUAAAUAGUACGUGAAAUUGUCAAAAGGGAAGCGUUUGGCACCAGUGUUGUUUUUCUAAAAAUCAAUUUAAAAUUUGCUUAUGUUAAGUGUUUUAGACUUAAUCGGCUAUACAUUUAAUUCUUUGUAAAUUUUGAAUGCACUUUUUAGUUAACAAGUCAACAUCAAUUUUUUUUGCUGUAAAAAAGUAAGAGGAAGGUGGCUUGGGAUUCGUUUCCAAGUGUUUAUAGCCUCUUGCCCAUGCAGUAGGAGAGAUUGAGGUCUGCAGCAUAGAUCCUUCGGGGCUAGAUGCUUUUGUGCUAGAAGCUAGUAUUAUAUAGACAACUUGUUGAUUAUGUAAUAUAUUAGUUUCUACUCGCUAAGUUAUUUUACCUACGCUUAGGAUGUUGAUAUGCAUGACUGAUAU